GGCUGGGAAGAGGAAGUGGGCUGCUAUGAGAAAUAAUAAGUCUUCUGAAGAGCCCGCCCAGCGCCAGCUACCGCUCAGUCUUCUGCGCUCUACAGCUUCCACUUCUCUCUCCCGGCACACAGUCUGGGGAGCGAAAAUACAACCGUGAUGGAAUGGAUGAUCACUCUUGUAGUGUGCUUCUCAGGCUUGCAGUCGUCCCAAGCCUUUAACGUGGAAUCCCCAGCCUGGCAAACGUUGACAACAAAUUCUGGCGAUCCUUCUGGAUGGUUUGGAUACAAGGUCGUCCAGACAGGAUCUGGCUUACUGGUGAGCGAGCCACUGUUGCAGACAUCCCCAACCGAAAGAGGCAGAAUCUACAAAUGCACUACUAACAAUUGUCAACCCAUCCCUCUCUCAGUUCCAGUGUUCGCCGUCAAUAUGUCUCUUGGUUUGACGUUGACGAAGGACCCAGCCUCUGAAAAUACUUUGGCAUGCGGUCCAACCCUUACAAGAGAAUGCAGGACUAUCAACACAUACAACGGAUUAUGCUUGAAGAUAAACUCUCAAAAUAGAGCUGAAUUGCAAAGACCAUCAAUUCUAAAGGAUUGUCCUGGCCUUUCGGACAUCGCCUUUCUGAUCGACGGCUCUGGCAGCGUAGCUGUUCGGGACUUCAACGCCACGAAGGUCUUUGUCACGCGUUUGGUCAGCUCCUUACGCAAUGGAGACACACGGUUCGCCAUCACCGAGUACUCAGGAACUCCUAUAACUUAUUAUCAUUUUUGAU
Gadus morhua (Atlantic cod) is the source of this 763-nucleotide long non-coding RNA. RefSeq lists it as uncharacterized. The record is from RefSeq and is a predicted model, not a curated record. The transcript is spliced from 7 exons. NCBI's taxonomy places the organism in Eukaryota, Metazoa, Chordata, Actinopteri, Gadiformes, Gadidae.